RNAcentral lists this unclassified non-coding RNA (318 nucleotides) under uncultured Gammaproteobacteria bacterium. RNAcentral's name for it is "partial 16S-23S ribosomal RNA intergenic spacer". Lineage: Bacteria; Pseudomonadati; Pseudomonadota; Gammaproteobacteria. The record is from RNAcentral.
CCUCCUUAACGACUUGAGUGCCUGCCCAAGCAGGGACCCACACGUUUGCUUGUCUGUUGUUGUCCGGCAUAAAAGAAGCCGGUAACAAGUGAUUCGUCUGAAUUAUUUGUUACCGGUUUUUUAAUCCGGUCCUGAAGUUCACCUUCGGGAAGCUCUUUAACAAUCUGGGAAAUGAGAAAGUCCAAGUAUUCCAAUGGAAUACAAGCGUUAGAAGUUUAUCUGACACUUGUGUCUAUUUGGUGCGUAUCGUUAAUCGUUGCGGCCGUAUGACUGUUUUGGGUUAUAUGGUCAAGUGACNAANCGUGCACGGUGGAUGCA